Non-coding RNA from Paralichthys olivaceus (Japanese flounder), 1458 nucleotides. NCBI's taxonomy places the organism in Eukaryota, Metazoa, Chordata, Actinopteri, Pleuronectiformes, Paralichthyidae. The record is from RefSeq and is a predicted model, not a curated record.
UGUGACCUCCUGUCACCUCCUGCUCUGAUGUCAUCACGUCAAACACAGCGCGUGCGUACCUGCCAGCAGGUGACCUCGUGCGUCAGCGACCAAACAAGAACCUGACGAAGGAAACUGGAGUUGAUAUCGCGGUGGAAACUACAGGACGAGAGGGUGAUGAGGAUUUCACACCCGGGAGCACAGCUCCACCGAUGCAGUGUUUGGAGACGCGCAGGUGACUCAGCGCACGUGUUGCCCUGAAUCCGCAAAGUCACACUUUAAUUGACGUAAAGAGCGUGAAGCUGAGAUGACGCUGAGAUGAACCUGUGCGUCAUGAGCUCCUGUAAGUGUGAACAAGUUGCUGAACAGUUGUUAAACUCGGGAGAACCAAAGCGCACGGGACGCGUGUGCGCGUAAUGCGCAGUGAAGCGCCAGGUUACAAACAACACUUCACGCGUGGGGCCUCCACUGAAAUGGUCGACGAGUCAGCUCCGCGCUGUUUUCUGGACACGGACCCGCAAAGCUCAACUAAAGAAAAGCUUCACCUGUAAAAACUCACCUGAGUGGAGGGACGCAGCCACCAACACUGGACACCUGCAGCCAAAGAUAACCUGUCUGUGGUGCUAUUGAGGUUAAUGAGGGGAGACAGCAUCAGACUCCAGAUCCCUUUAAUAAACCUCGUCAGCUCUGCCCGUCUGGUGCAUGUCAAUGACUUACCCGAAUGCAUUGCAGCUGCCGCCUCAGUGGAGACGGAAAAGAAAGAAGUCUGCGUGAAGGCAAACGAGGCUCGGAUCUUAAAAACAAAACAAACUGGGAGUGGCUUGAAAAACGAGUUUGAGAGUUUGCAGGUCAGUUUGUUAUCAGGCACAGACGACGGAACUGACAGCCACAGGAUUUAUUCAUAUGGAGUCGAGCGGUUUUGGAGGAAAUGAGAUUAUAAUGGAGCAAAUUAGAUAAAAUUCUCAUAAUAGCUAUUGGAGAAUUAGGAAGUAGAUAAGAGCAAUACAUUUAAGAAAGUACAAGUUUUUUUUACUACAACAACACAUUGCUAAUGUUGUACAUUAAUCACGUCCCUCUAAUUCUGUGGUGCAGGAAAAAAAAAAUAAAGAUUAUACAGGAAGAGUUUCACGGUGUCUGGAAUAUAACCUCACUGCAAAAACAAAGUUUAAACAUCUAAUGCAAUCCCACGCAUGUACUUACUGCACAUGUAUGUUCACGUGACUGUAGGGCGGGAAGGACAGUUCAUAUUUAAACAGUUUGACCUGCGAAGGUAAUGUUACGUUGUAUUUUGAAAUGAAACUGGAGGAUGCUGAACUUUGUACCGUGCAAUAUCUCGCACUGAGGACUCACCUGCGGAGGAGGAUCUCUGGAGGAGUGGAGCAACACCACGUGAUCAACCUCGUCUGACUGCAAGUGUCAUGUAUGUUCACAUGACGGCAACAUUAAAGGACCUCUCCUCAAUUUUACUGAGAAUCAGUU